GAGAGAAAUCAAUUUUGUAGCUUUUUGACUCGUGUUCUUCUUAUGUUCUUACCAAAAUGUUGACGAGAAAUAAAAGAAAGAAAAAUAUUUUUAUGAGACUCCACCCAUGGGGGACGCCCUUACCACAGGCGGCCUCUGAUUGGUCCAGACAAUUCUAUCUUUUUCCUCAUAUUUAGCUCCGCCUUACAGAUUUUUACAGUCAACAAAUUUUAGUUACACUGUAAGGUGUGUCUAGUCUUCAAUAUUUUACUUUGUGAAAGACGAAAGAAAACUUACCGUAGUAUAUUACAGUGCUUAUAGUUUAGACUCAACUUCAAAACAUUAUUGACUUACAUCAAAAGGAACUCUUUCGUGUUAGCGUUAAGAAAAAAGCAGCACAAGAUAAGAAUUAUGUUGGUGGAACAGGAGGCGGCCCCCAAAUUGAAAAUACCCUGUACAUACACUGCAAUUGACGAAGCAGUUCUUCAACUCUUAGAUCCAGCCUCUCUACAUGGGAUUCCAGCGAUUUUGGAAAGUGAAGAACUUAUUGAUGGUAAUUCACUGAACAUACUUUUCCAACCCUCUGAUAAAUUUUGUUCUUUUCUAUCCUUGUUUUUAAAUCCUAAAAUAAUUUUGGUACUAUUUUUUCACUAUUAUCUUACUUUUGAAAUACAGUAUACUUAUUUUUUGUAUAUUCUUAAAAAAAACCAACAUUAGUAAGUUAGUUAAAUUUAUAGCUUGCAUAUUGCUUCCCUAAGUUAGAUAUUAAAUGUUGUUAUAACUCGUAUGUUAAUGGAAAAAAUUGAGAAGUGCAAAUAUAAGAAAUUUAACGCCUGGAACUAAUUGCCGUAUAUUAUAAUUAAAUCAAUUUAUAAUAUUGUAACCAUGAUAACUUAGUUUAUAUUUACAUUUAAAAAUAUUUUAUACAAACAUUUUUAGAUGGUCAUCACUAUUUUUCAGACCAUUUUUUGUUCUAAAAACUAUUAUAUAUUUAUAUUAUACCCUUAACAGAGACGUCAAUCAAACUAUUAUACAUUUCCUUCCAGAAGAAGAAAGAGCACAAACCCCAGGACCCUCAGGAGCUAGGUUUACGGCUAUUCAUUCCAGCGAGGAAUCUAUGUUUAGGACCGUUCAAGAGAAAGAGGAUUCUCUAACUAUCUUGCUGACUGAGGAUAUACACACUUGUUAACUAAUAACAUAAGAACAUAAAAACAUAAGAAAAUAAGGAGUCUGCAAUAGGCCGGUUGGCCUGUGCAUGGCAGCUCCUGUCGAGAGUUACUACCACUCUCUAUCAUCCAUGAAUCUAUCUAGCCUCCUUUUGAAACUUUCCAGAGUUCCCGCACUUACUACAAAGUUGAAAACUGCUACCGAUUCAAGUGUUCCUGAAUAGAAAAGACGCUUCACGCCCAAAUCAAGCGGAAAUUGGUGGGCUCAGUCAAGAUGGUGGACUCAGUCAAGGUGGUGGACUCAGUCAAGAUGGUGGACUCAGUCAAGGUGGUGGACAUAUUCUGAAUGAUGGAGACACUAAUGGUGGACAGAUUCAAAAUGAUGGACAUGAUCAAGAACUGGGACCUUCUUCCAGAAAAAAUGCAAAAAGCCUUCGCACAAAUUGUCGGUAAACUACUGGAGAACAAAAUAUAUGAAUAAUAAGGCGAGUGUCAAACAUUUCCAAAGCCAACUUCGGGCAGCUAAAUCUACAAUAAGGAAGCAAAAUACUUGGAAGCCUGCGGCAGCCAUAUUCUCCAAUGCACAGUUAAGAAGAUUAUCGAAUCCUGCAUCUAGAAGUCCUUGGGACCAAGACAGUGUGGCUAAAGCUUUGGCACAAAGUCCAUCUCUUCCAAAGCUUAUGGUUUCGUUACUAAUGUAUUAAAAUAUCCAUUACCCUCUGCAGAAUGUCUUAGCCGAUGAAUAAUGAACUUUCAAACUCCCCCAGGAAUCUUAACUAAAAGCCUGGAUUUAUUAAAUGCAAAUGGUUUACUAAAAACAGUUCAGAAAGAUUGACAGUACUUUCGUUUGAUGAAAUGUCCAUUAAGUCCCUGUCAAAAAGCAAUGGUUAUUCCAGGAAAUGCACUACCUAAGAUCUUUAACUUCCUUCAAGAUAAAUACAAAGUAAAUUAUGUUUUAACAUCUACAUUAAAUCAGGAUGCCCUUGAGAAUUUUUUCUCUUGUGUUCGGGUCAUUGGGGCAGGUGAAUAUG
Homarus americanus (American lobster) is the source of this 2176-nucleotide long non-coding RNA. RefSeq lists it as uncharacterized. NCBI's taxonomy places the organism in Eukaryota, Metazoa, Arthropoda, Malacostraca, Decapoda, Nephropidae. The transcript is spliced from 4 exons. The record is from RefSeq and is a predicted model, not a curated record.